GCAAGAGCGGCGAAGUUGGAGAGUCGUGGCAGACUGUAAAUCUGUUGCCUUAGGGCUGAGUAGGUUCGAAUCCUACCUCUUGCA
This 84-nucleotide transfer RNA is filed under the name Paludibacteraceae bacterium. RNAcentral's name for it is "tRNA-Tyr". It matches the Rfam family "tRNA". Rfam says of the family: Transfer RNA (tRNA) molecules are approximately 80 nucleotides in length. Their secondary structure includes four short double-helical elements and three loops (D, anti-codon, and T loops). The record is from RNAcentral. Lineage: Bacteria; Pseudomonadati; Bacteroidota; Bacteroidia; Bacteroidales; Paludibacteraceae.